This 484-nucleotide ribosomal RNA is filed under the name uncultured bacterium. Its description in RNAcentral is "partial 16S ribosomal RNA". It matches the Rfam family "Bacterial small subunit ribosomal RNA", at positions 28 to 507 of the family's 1533-position model. The record is from RNAcentral.
AUUGAACGCUGGCGGCAUGCUUUACACAUGCAAGUCGAACGGCAGCGCGGGCUUCGGCCUGGCGGCGAGUGGCGAACGGGUGAGUAAUGCAUCGGAACGUGCCCAGUAGUGGGGGAUAGCCCGGCGAAAGCCGGAUUAAUACCGCAUGCGACCUGAGGGUGAAAGCGGGGGACCGAAAGGCCUCGCGCUAUUGGAGCGGCCGAUGUCGGAUUAGCUAGUUGGUGGGGUAACGGCUUACCAAGGCGACGAUCCGUAGCUGGUCUGAGAGGACGACCAGCCACACUGGGACUGAGACACGGCCCAGACUCCUACGGGAGGCAGCAGUGGGGAAUUUUGGACAAUGGGGGCAACCCUGAUCCAGCCAUGCCGCGUGCGGGAAGAAGGCCUUCGGGUUGUAAACCGCUUUUGUUCGGGAAGAAAUCCUCUGGGCUAAUACCCCGGGGGGAUGACGGUACCGGAAGAAUAAGCACCGGCUAACUACGUG